Long non-coding RNA from Cygnus olor (mute swan), 587 nucleotides. RefSeq lists it as uncharacterized. The transcript has 2 exons. NCBI's taxonomy places the organism in Eukaryota, Metazoa, Chordata, Aves, Anseriformes, Anatidae. The record is from RefSeq and is a predicted model, not a curated record.
CUCGAUCCAUGGAGCUGCAGCUAAAGCAGAAGUCAGUCUACAUCAAAGCGAUGUUGUAAGCUGGUCCAGUAAAAGCUUAUAAAAAAUGUGAUUAUAAACACUGUAUCUGAUGUCUAUCUGUCCCACUCUCAAUCCAGCUGAAAAACUGCAUGUCAGAAACUUUCCUGUGAGCUUUAUGUGAACAUUUUGUAGGAAUUACAGGCCUCCAUGUGUCACUGUUUUGAAGAGCUCCACCCAGAUCCAUUUGAAAUUCCUCAGCGCGUGGGAAGAUCCCAGCCAGUCUUGAACACUCUGAGUGAUUCCAGGUUCUGCAGAGAUCCAUGGUCCCCUGUCUCAGAACUUAAUUCUCCAAUUUGGCAAGGGAGAAUCUGUUGCAAGCUACACAGUUUUGACAGAUUAUUAUGCAACAAAACCACAAAUACAUCUACAUACCAUGUCUUCUUCUGCUACAGAGAGGAAGACUUGAAAAAGUGAAUUCUGUCAUCAUCAGUGCCAACAGAAAUGCUGCUAUUAAUUUUAAUGAAGCCAGGAUUUCUUCCAAAGAUUACAACGGUGGAUAUAUGUUUUCGUAUUCAUGAUACCCAAAA